RNAcentral lists this transfer RNA (73 nucleotides) under Stegodyphus mimosarum. It matches the Rfam family "tRNA". Rfam says of the family: Transfer RNA (tRNA) molecules are approximately 80 nucleotides in length. Their secondary structure includes four short double-helical elements and three loops (D, anti-codon, and T loops). Further hydrogen bonds mediate the characteristic L-shaped molecular structure. tRNAs have two regions of fundamental functional importance: the anti-codon, which is responsible for specific mRNA codon recognition, and the 3' end, to which the tRNAs corresponding amino acid is attached (by aminoacyl-tRNA synthetases). tRNAs cope with the degeneracy of the genetic code in two manners: having more than one tRNA (with a specific anti-codon) for a particular amino acid; and 'wobble' base-pairing, i.e. permitting non-standard base-pairing at the 3rd anti-codon position. The record is from Rfam by way of RNAcentral. Lineage: Eukaryota; Metazoa; Arthropoda; Arachnida; Araneae; Eresidae.
GCCUUCGUGGUGUAGAGGUCAGCACGCUCGACGAGUAACCGAGAGGUCCGUGGUUCGAUUCCCGGCGAAGCCG